RNAcentral lists this small RNA (28 nucleotides) under Bombyx mori (domestic silkworm). RNAcentral describes it as "piRNA piR-bmo-2177108". The record is from RNAcentral. Lineage: Eukaryota; Metazoa; Arthropoda; Insecta; Lepidoptera; Bombycidae.
UGUUACAUGAAAGAGGGAUAGACGAAGU